CCGCGUGGAUGAAGAAGGCCGAAAGGUUGUAAAGUUCUUUUGUUGGGGAAGAAUAACCAUGGGAGGGAAUGCCCGUGGGAUGACAUGAACCGACGAAUAAGCCCCGGCUAACUACGUGCCAGCAGCCGCGGUAACACGUAGGGGGCGAGCGUUGUUCGGAAUUACUGGGCGUAAAGGGCAUGUAGGCGGUCUUGUAAGCUUGGCGUGAAAGACCACGGCUCAACCGUGGGAUUGCGUUGAGAACUGCGAGGCUUGAGUGACGGAGAGGGAGCUAGAAUUCCUGGUGUAGGGGUGGAAUCUGUAGAGAUCAGGAAGAAUACCAAUGGCGAAGGCAAGCUCCUGGCCGAUGACUGACGCUGAGGUGCGAAAGUGUGGGGAUCAAACAGGAUUGAUA
RNAcentral lists this ribosomal RNA (394 nucleotides) under uncultured bacterium. RNAcentral's name for it is "bacterial SSU rRNA". It matches the Rfam family "Bacterial small subunit ribosomal RNA", at positions 397 to 784 of the family's 1533-position model. The record is from RNAcentral.